AGUUAAGACUUGCACUGAAGAUUUUGUCAUGAUGAAAAACCAUUUUGUAGAAUAUAUCAAUGGGUAGAUCUCCAUUUGGAUCUGCGUAUUUGAGAGUUGUCAUCGGCGUGUACAAGGUGUUGGUCUGAUGGCGAAAAGGAAUCUCAUCCUGUGAUCCUUUCUGAUGAAUUUCUACAUGCUGUCUUUGAGCCCUUGACCUCUAGAAAGGACUGUUAUCCUUUUAAAAGGAAAACAUUACAGCUGAUACUGUGAUCUCUCUGGCUGCUAUUUAAUAUUCUAUAGUCUACUGGCAAAAUCUCCUUCAGGAGUCGAACCAGUCCAAAGAAGUUGGUAUCCAUCACCGUUUUCAUUUCAUCAAUGGUCUGACAUUCAAUUGGUCCAAUAAGCCCCAUUCCAGCAUUGCUAACUGCACAAAACAGAAGAUGAC
This is a long non-coding RNA of Anas platyrhynchos (mallard), 427 nucleotides long. RefSeq lists it as uncharacterized. The record is from RefSeq and is a predicted model, not a curated record. Lineage: Eukaryota; Metazoa; Chordata; Aves; Anseriformes; Anatidae.